RNAcentral lists this unclassified non-coding RNA (348 nucleotides) under soil metagenome. RNAcentral's name for it is "partial contains 5.8S ribosomal RNA, internal transcribed spacer 2, and large subunit ribosomal RNA". The stretch from base 1 to 120 matches the Rfam family "5.8S ribosomal RNA", at positions 35 to 154 of the family's 154-position model. The record is from RNAcentral.
GAUGAAGAACGUAGCGAAAUGCGAUAAGUAAUGUGAAUUGCAGAAUUCAGUGAAUCAUCGAAUCUUUGAACGCACAUUGCGCCCGCCAGUAUUCUGGCGGGCAUGCCUGUCUGAGCGUCAUUUCAACCCUCAUGCCCCUAGGGCGUGGUGUUGGGGAUCGGCCAAAGCCCGCGAGGGACGGCCGGCCCCUAAAUCUAGUGGCGGACCCGUCGUGGCCUCCUCUGCGAAGUAGUGAUAUUCCGCAUCGGAGAGCGACGAGCCCCUGCCGUUAAACCCCCAACUUUCCAAGGUUGACCUCGGAUCAGGUAGGAAUACCCGCUGAACUUAAGCAUAUCAAUAAGCGGAGGA